This 1448-nucleotide ribosomal RNA is filed under the name Lacticaseibacillus casei. RNAcentral describes it as "bacterial SSU rRNA". It matches the Rfam family "Bacterial small subunit ribosomal RNA". The record is from RNAcentral. Lineage: Bacteria; Bacillati; Bacillota; Bacilli; Lactobacillales; Lactobacillaceae.
UAAUACAUGCAAGUCGAACGAGUUCUCGUUGAUGAUCGGUGCUUGCACCGAGAUUCAACAUGGAACGAGUGGCGGACGGGUGAGUAACACGUGGGUAACCUGCCCUUAAGUGGGGGAUAACAUUUGGAAACAGAUGCUAAUACCGCAUAGAUCCAAGAACCGCAUGGUUCUUGGCUGAAAGAUGGCGUAAGCUAUCGCUUUUGGAUGGACCCGCGGCGUAUUAGCUAGUUGGUGAGGUAAUGGCUCACCAAGGCGAUGAUACGUAGCCGAACUGAGAGGUUGAUCGGCCACAUUGGGACUGAGACACGGCCCAAACUCCUACGGGAGGCAGCAGUAGGGAAUCUUCCACAAUGGACGCAAGUCUGAUGGAGCAACGCCGCGUGAGUGAAGAAGGCUUUCGGGUCGUAAAACUCUGUUGUUGGAGAAGAAUGGUCGGCAGAGUAACUGUUGUCGGCGUGACGGUAUCCAACCAGAAAGCCACGGCUAACUACGUGCCAGCAGCCGCGGUAAUACGUAGGUGGCAAGCGUUAUCCGGAUUUAUUGGGCGUAAAGCGAGCGCAGGCGGUUUUUUAAGUCUGAUGUGAAAGCCCUCGGCUUAACCGAGGAAGCGCAUCGGAAACUGGGAAACUUGAGUGCAGAAGAGGACAGUGGAACUCCAUGUGUAGCGGUGAAAUGCGUAGAUAUAUGGAAGAACACCAGUGGCGAAGGCGGCUGUCUGGUCUGUAACUGACGCUGAGGCUCGAAAGCAUGGGUAGCGAACAGGAUUAGAUACCCUGGUAGUCCAUGCCGUAAACGAUGAAUGCUAGGUGUUGGAGGGUUUCCGCCCUUCAGUGCCGCAGCUAACGCAUUAAGCAUUCCGCCUGGGGAGUACGACCGCAAGGUUGAAACUCAAAGGAAUUGACGGGGGCCCGCACAAGCGGUGGAGCAUGUGGUUUAAUUCGAAGCAACGCGAAGAACCUUACCAGGUCUUGACAUCUUUUGAUCACCUGAGAGAUCAGGUUUCCCCUUCGGGGGCAAAAUGACAGGUGGUGCAUGGUUGUCGUCAGCUCGUGUCGUGAGAUGUUGGGUUAAGUCCCGCAACGAGCGCAACCCUUAUGACUAGUUGCCAGCAUUUAGUUGGGCACUCUAGUAAGACUGCCGGUGACAAACCGGAGGAAGGUGGGGAUGACGUCAAAUCAUCAUGCCCCUUAUGACCUGGGCUACACACGUGCUACAAUGGAUGGUACAACGAGUUGCGAGACCGCGAGGUCAAGCUAAUCUCUUAAAGCCAUUCUCAGUUCGGACUGUAGGCUGCAACUCGCCUACACGAAGUCGGAAUCGCUAGUAAUCGCGGAUCAGCACGCCGCGGUGAAUACGUUCCCGGGCCUUGUACACACCGCCCGUCACACCAUGAGAGUUUGUAACACCCGAAGCCGGUGGCGUAACCCUUUUAGGGAGCGAGCCGUCUA